This is a small nuclear RNA of Nomascus leucogenys (northern white-cheeked gibbon), 99 nucleotides long. NCBI's taxonomy places the organism in Eukaryota, Metazoa, Chordata, Mammalia, Primates, Hylobatidae. The record is from Ensembl.
CUGCUUGCUUCGGCAGCACAUAUACUAAAAUUGGAACGAUAUGGACAAGAUUAGCAUGGCCCCUGCAUCAGAAAGUGGGAAAAAGGGACAGAGUCAUUU